This 371-nucleotide ribosomal RNA is filed under the name uncultured bacterium. Its description in RNAcentral is "bacterial SSU rRNA". It matches the Rfam family "Bacterial small subunit ribosomal RNA", at positions 524 to 898 of the family's 1533-position model. The record is from RNAcentral.
UACAUAGGGGGCAAGCGUUAUCCGGAAUCACUGGGCGUAAAGGGAGCGUAGGCGGUUUGACAAGCCAGAGGUGAAAGGCAAUAGCUUAACUAUUGUAAGCCUUUGGAACUGUCGAACUUGAGUGUAGGAGAGGAAAGUGGAAUUCCUAGUGUAGCGGUGAAAUGCGUAGAUAUUAGGAGGAACACCAGUGGCGAAGGCGACUUUCUGGACUAUAACUGACGCUGAGGCUCGAAAGCGUGGGGAGCAAACAGGAUUAGAUACCCUGGUAGUCCACGCUGUAAACGAUGAAUACUAGGUGUCUGGGGUCAAACCUAGGUGCCGCAGCUAACGCAUUAAGUAUUCCGCCUGGGGAGUACGCACGCAAGUGUGAA